This is a long non-coding RNA of Molossus molossus (Pallas's mastiff bat), 285 nucleotides long. RefSeq lists it as uncharacterized. The record is from RefSeq and is a predicted model, not a curated record. Lineage: Eukaryota; Metazoa; Chordata; Mammalia; Chiroptera; Molossidae. The transcript has 3 exons.
GCCUGCCCCCCACUGCGGAUUGGGCCCACAACCUGGGCAUGUGUCCUGACCAGGAAUCAAACCAGCAACCUCUUGGUGCAUGGGUUGAUGCUCCACCACUGACCCAUGCUGGCCGGACCAAUACUUACUUUCUUAAUCAAAGCACUUUUCUUGAUAUGCUGUGAGACUCUGGAUUCAGCCUGAGAGGCAGAGACGGCGUCUAACCCCUGCUGACACCCCAGGCUGAGUUGGCAUUCGGUCCAGAAGCAUGGAUGCAUGGAACAGACUGACAGAUCUCAGAGGGGA